Molecule: ribosomal RNA, 189 nt
Filed under: Paenibacillus polymyxa
Lineage: Bacteria; Bacillati; Bacillota; Bacilli; Caryophanales; Paenibacillaceae
Description: partial 16S ribosomal RNA
Rfam family: Bacterial small subunit ribosomal RNA
Source: RNAcentral
UUAAUGGAGAGUUUGAUCCUGGCUCAGGACGAACGCUGGCGGCGUGCCUAAUACAUGCAAGUCGAGCGGGGUUAGUUAGAAGCUUGCUUCUAACUAACCUAGCGGCGGACGGGUGAGUAACACGUAGGCAACCUGCCCACAAGACAGGGAUAACUACCGGAAACGGUAGCUAAUACCCGAUACAUCCUU